RNAcentral lists this transfer RNA (87 nucleotides) under Thermodesulfovibrionia bacterium. Its description in RNAcentral is "tRNA-Tyr". It matches the Rfam family "tRNA". From Rfam's summary of the family: Transfer RNA (tRNA) molecules are approximately 80 nucleotides in length. Their secondary structure includes four short double-helical elements and three loops (D, anti-codon, and T loops). The record is from RNAcentral. Lineage: Bacteria; Pseudomonadati; Nitrospirota; Thermodesulfovibrionia.
GGGCAGGUGGCGGAGUGGUCAAUCGCAACAGACUGUAAAUCUGUCGCCUUUAUGGCUACGUAGGUUCAAAUCCUACCCUGCCCACCA